CGAUGGGUAGCCGAGCUGAGAGGCUGAACGGCCACACUGGAACUGAGAUACGGUCCAGACUCCUACGGGAGGCAGCAGGGAGGAAUAUUGGGCAAUGGGGGAAACCCUGACCCAGCAACGCCGCGUGAAGGAAGAAGGCCUUCGGGUUGUAAACUUCUGUGACGGGGGACGAAAGAAAUGACGGUACCCCGAGAGGAAGCCACGGCAAACUACGUGCCAGCAGCCGCGGUAAUACGUAGGUGGCGAGCGUUGUCCGGAAUCACUGGGCGUAAAGGGCGCGUAGGCGGCAAUUCAAGUCGCAUGUGAAAAACCAGGGCUUAACCUUGGGGGGUCAUGCGAAACUGGAUAGCUUGAGUGCAGUAGAGGAAAGCGGAAUUCCUGGUGUAGCGGUAAAAUGCGUAGAGAUCAGGAGGAACACCGGUGGCGAAGGCGGCUUUCUGGGCUGCAACUGACGCUGAGGCGCGAAAGCGUGGGGAGCAAACAGGAUUAGAUACCCUGGUAGUCCACGCGGUAAACGAUGAUUACUAGGUGUAGGGGACGCAGGUUCUCUGUGCCGGAGCUAACGCAAUAAGUAAUCCGCCUGGGGAGUACGGCCGCAA
Molecule: ribosomal RNA, 599 nt
Filed under: uncultured bacterium
Lineage: Bacteria
Description: bacterial SSU rRNA
Rfam family: Bacterial small subunit ribosomal RNA
Source: RNAcentral